CCUCCUACGGGAGGCAGCAGUAAGGAAUAUUGCGCAAUGGGCGAAAGCCUGACGCAGCGACGCCGCGUGGGGGAUGAAGGUCUUCGGAUUGUAAAUCCCUUUCGGGAGGGAAGAUGGAGCGAGCAAUCGUUCGGACGGUACCUCCAGAAGCAGCCACGGCCAACUUCGUGCCUGCGCCGCGGUAA
Molecule: ribosomal RNA, 185 nt
Filed under: uncultured Nitrospira sp.
Lineage: Bacteria; Pseudomonadati; Nitrospirota; Nitrospiria; Nitrospirales; Nitrospiraceae
Description: partial 16S ribosomal RNA
Rfam family: Bacterial small subunit ribosomal RNA
Source: RNAcentral